GAGGCUUUAGCUUAAUUAAAGUGUCUGGUUUGCAUUCAGGAGAUGUAAUUUAGAAUAUUACAAGUCUUA
RNAcentral lists this transfer RNA (69 nucleotides) under Leiocephalus raviceps. RNAcentral describes it as "tRNA-Ala". It matches the Rfam family "tRNA". Rfam says of the family: Transfer RNA (tRNA) molecules are approximately 80 nucleotides in length. Their secondary structure includes four short double-helical elements and three loops (D, anti-codon, and T loops). Lineage: Eukaryota; Metazoa; Chordata; Lepidosauria; Squamata; Leiocephalidae. The record is from RNAcentral.